This 301-nucleotide ribosomal RNA is filed under the name uncultured bacterium. RNAcentral describes it as "partial 16S ribosomal RNA". It matches the Rfam family "Bacterial small subunit ribosomal RNA", at positions 509 to 807 of the family's 1533-position model. The record is from RNAcentral.
CAGCAGCCGCGGGAAUACGGAGGGCGCGAGCGUUACCCGGAUUUACUGGGCGUAAAGGGCGUGUAGGCGGCCUGGGGCGUCCCAUGUGAAAGGCCACGGCUCAACCGGGGAAGUGGCACCGAUACGGCCGAGCUGGAGGAAGGUAGGGGGGUCUGGAACUUCCGGUGGAGCGGUGAAAUGCGUUGAGAUCGGAAGGAACGCCCGUGGCGAAAGCGAGGCCCUGGACCUUUUCUGACGCUGAGACGCGAAAGCCAGGGGAGCGAACGGGAUUAGAUACCCCAGUAGUCCCUGUCUCUUAUAC